This 484-nucleotide ribosomal RNA is filed under the name uncultured bacterium. Its description in RNAcentral is "partial 16S ribosomal RNA". It matches the Rfam family "Bacterial small subunit ribosomal RNA", at positions 30 to 507 of the family's 1533-position model. The record is from RNAcentral.
AUUGAACGCUGGCGGCAGGCCUAACACAUGCAAGUCGAGCGGAUGAAGGGAGCUUGCUCCUGGAUUCAGCGGCGGACGGGUGAGUAAUGCCUAGGAAUCUGCCUUGUAGUUGUGGAUAACGUCCGGAAACGGGCGCUAAUACCGCAUCCGUCCUGAGGUAGAAAGUGGGGGUUCUUCGGACCUCUCGCUAUCAGAUGAGCCUAGGUCGGAUUAGCUAGUUGGUGGGGUAAAGGCCUACCAAGGCGACGAUCCGUAACUGGUCUGCGGGGGUGAUCAGGCAAACGGGAAGAGAGAAGGGGGGCAGAAACCUAAGGGAGGGAGGAGGGGGGAAUAUUGGACAAUGGGCGAAAGCAUGAUCCAGCCAAGCCGCGUGUGUGAAGAAGGUCUUCGGAUUGUAAAGAACUUUAAGUUGGGAGGAAGGGAAGUAAGUUAAUACCUUGAUGUUUUGACGGUACCAACAGAAUAAGCACCGGCUAACUUCGUG